AUACGGAGGAUCCGAGCGUUAUCCGGAUUUAUUGGGUUUAAAGGGUGCGCAGGCGGGAGAUUAAGUCGGCGGUGAAAUUUUGCAGCUCAACUGCAAAAGUGCCUUCGAAACUGGUUUCCUUGAGUGUAGAUGAAGUAGGCGGAAUUUGUGGUGUAGCGGUGAAAUGCAUAGAUAUCACGAGGAACUCCGAUUGCGCAGGCAGCUUACUAAACUACUACUGACGCUCAGGCACGAAGGCGUGGGGAUCAAACAGGAUUAGAUACCCUGGUAGUCCACGCAGUAAACGAUGAUUACUAGCUGUUUGCGAUACAAUGUAAGCGGCUGAGCGAAAGCGUUAAGUAAUCCACCUGGGGAGUACGUUCGCAAGAAUGAAACUCAAAGGAAUUGACGGGG
This 393-nucleotide ribosomal RNA is filed under the name uncultured bacterium. RNAcentral's name for it is "partial 16S ribosomal RNA". It matches the Rfam family "Bacterial small subunit ribosomal RNA", at positions 523 to 918 of the family's 1533-position model. The record is from RNAcentral.